Molecule: long non-coding RNA, 1121 nt
Filed under: Delphinapterus leucas (beluga whale)
Lineage: Eukaryota; Metazoa; Chordata; Mammalia; Artiodactyla; Monodontidae
Description: lncRNA (ENSDLEG00000021502.1)
Source: RNAcentral
AUGAGCAUGCUUUUUGUCCUCAGCAUGCUCCCUUGCAGAGUGCUUACCCAUGGAUAUGAGCUGAAGCAACAUGAAAACCCGCCAAGGCUGCUGUUUGAAUCAGGCUCUGUGUUGCAGCUGUGUCUCACCAUCGAAGCUGGCGGACUAACAUGAUUUAGGUUUAUGUGUCCACGGUUAGCAGGCCUUGUUUUAGGCAAAAAUAUCUAUCGGCUGAGCUUCAGGUUCAUAAACACAGCUGUCCCCUACUUGGAGGCUUGCUUUUCUUUCUUUCUUCUCUUUACCCAAAAAGCUUAAAGCUAUUAUUGCCUUCAAAGCUUAGGAAAAAGUCAGCCUCGUUGGGUAGGCCAGCUCUUGUGUGCAUCAGUUAAAUUCUAUGCCAAGAUGCAUUAAUUAUUUAUAAACACUGGGUUUUAAAAUGCUUCACUUUGAAAAAAAGAUACCCAUUUCUACUCCUACUAUUCUUAGAUCUUCAAAGUAAGUAAAUGACACAGGAAAAAUUAAAGCAAGGAUAAAUCUUCUAAAACCCAAGAAUUUUUAAAGGGUACUUUCCAUAUAGAAAAACCAAAUAGAAAACAGAUUUAUCUCAACUAAAGCAUAUAUUUCCUGAAUUCACCUUGUCAUUAUUAACAUUUAUAUAAUUGCUUUUAAUCUCUUUUACUUUUGGAAACUUCAGUACAUUCUAUUCAAUUCAUCAACGAUUUAAUGAUCACUUACUACAUGGAGCACACUGGGCUGAUACAUUGGGAAGUAAAAAUGAUAGUUAUUUGCCCAGCACUCAAGUAGCUUAGAUUAUAUAUAGUGCUUUAAAAGAAAUCAAAUCCAGUAACUUUUAGUUGCAUAAGGCCUCUAGAUUUUGUUUUAAAUAUAUUAAGACAUAGUUCACAACAGAAAUUUCUAUAUUAAAUUUUUUCUAAAUGUACACACACAGGCAUCUUCAGAGAUUCAAACUCACCCUUUCUUGAUACUUCUUUCCACUACUCUCAUUUACCUCAUUAUUUCCCAGAGUUUUUUCUUUUUUUUAACAUCUUUAUUGGAGGAUAAUUGCUUGACAUUGUUGUGUUACUUGCUGCUAUAUAACAAAGUGAAUCAGCUAUACAUAUACAUAUAUCCCCAUAUUCCCU